This 610-nucleotide ribosomal RNA is filed under the name Lactiplantibacillus plantarum. Its description in RNAcentral is "bacterial SSU rRNA". It matches the Rfam family "Bacterial small subunit ribosomal RNA", at positions 690 to 1299 of the family's 1533-position model. Lineage: Bacteria; Bacillati; Bacillota; Bacilli; Lactobacillales; Lactobacillaceae. The record is from RNAcentral.
GUAGAUAUAUGGAAGAACACCAGUGGCGAAGGCGGCUGUCUGGUCUGUAACUGACGCUGAGGCUCGAAAGUAUGGGUAGCAAACAGGAUUAGAUACCCUGGUAGUCCAUACCGUAAACGAUGAAUGCUAAGUGUUGGAGGGUUUCCGCCCUUCAGUGCUGCAGCUAACGCAUUAAGCAUUCCGCCUGGGGAGUACGNCCGCAAGGNUGAAACUCAAAGGAAUUGACGGGGGCCCGCACAAGCGGUGGAGCAUGUGGUUUAAUUCGAAGCUACGCGAAGAACCUUACCAGGUCUUGACAUCCUAUGCANAUUUNAGAGAUUNGACNUUCCCUUCGGGGACAUNGAUACAGGUGGUGCAUGGUUGUCGUCAGCUCGUGUCGUGAGAUGUUGGGUUAAGUCCCGCAACGAGCGCAACCCUUAUUAUCAGUUGCCANCAUUAAGUUGGGCACUCUGGCGAGACUGCCGGUGACAAACCGGAGGAAGGUGGGGAUGACGUCAAAUCAUCAUGCCCCUUAUGACCUGGGCUACACACGUGCUACNAUGGAAUGGUACAACGAGUUGCGAACUCGCGAGAGUAAGCUAAUCUCUUAAAGCCAUUCUCAGUUCGGAUU